AGAUGGGAGUGUGAUCUGCCUGCGACCUCUGUCACCCCACUGAUCACCAAGAUUGAUUUGGCUGAUCUGGCUGGCUAGGCAGGUGUCCCCUCCCUCACUCAUCCCUGCAUGUGCCUCCCUCCCAAAGCUGCACAUUUGGGCAAAGAGGAUGACCCCCCCAAUAGAGGAGUAUAUCGAGGGUAUACGAGUAGCUGUGGUCCCCUGCUAGAACCUUCAAACAAGCUCUCAAGUAUUAAGGGAACUUCCUGGUCUUUUUCUCUCUCCAGAAAACUUAUAUCUGCAAUCCACGGAUAAAUUCUUGGAUUCC
Molecule: small nuclear RNA, 307 nt
Filed under: Octodon degus (degu)
Lineage: Eukaryota; Metazoa; Chordata; Mammalia; Rodentia; Octodontidae
Description: 7SK RNA (ENSODEG00000022977.1)
Rfam family: 7SK RNA
About the family: 7SK was discovered as an abundant small nuclear RNA in the mid-70s but a possible function has only recently been suggested.
Source: RNAcentral